AAACGUUGAAGCAGGAGGGUGUGCCGGUAGCAUUGUCCUGUGGAGUUUGCAGAAGGGUUGUGCAAUAAAACCUCAAACCGGUGUAGGCUUUUAGCUGAAAGAAAAUGCUCCAA
RNAcentral lists this non-coding RNA (113 nucleotides) under unclassified sequences. RNAcentral describes it as "drum RNA". It matches the Rfam family "drum RNA". From Rfam's summary of the family: Firmicutes, Bacteroidetes (1 example), Proteobacteria (2 examples), Spirochaetes (2 examples). The record is from Rfam by way of RNAcentral.